Molecule: long non-coding RNA, 1077 nt
Filed under: Apteryx owenii (little spotted kiwi)
Lineage: Eukaryota; Metazoa; Chordata; Aves; Apterygiformes; Apterygidae
Description: lncRNA (ENSAOWG00000004274.1)
Source: RNAcentral
UUGGGGACGCUGCAGGGCAUGAGGUUGGGGACAGGGACACGGUGGCAUGGGGGACACAGCAGCGUGGGGACAUCGCAGGGGACGCGGUUGGGGACGCCAUGGGUGAUGGGGUUGGGGACGGCCACACAGGGACACUACGGGGGACACGGCAGCGUGGGGACACCGCAGGGGACGCGGCAGCGUAGGGACACAGCUGGGGACGGGGACAUGGCAGCACAGGGACGCUAGGGGGGGACGUGGCAGCGCGAGGACGCGGCAGGGAACGAGGACACGGCCGCACAGGGAUGCCACAGGGACAUGGCAGGGGAUGGGGACGCGGUCACACGAGGACACCGCAGGGCACGGGGACACGGCCAGACAGGGACACCGUGGGGGACACGGUCACACGAGGAUGCUGUGGGGACACGGCAGGGGACAGGGACACAGCCAGACAGGGACACCACGGGGGACACAGUCACGUGGGGACACCGUGGGGACGCGGCAGGGGACAGGGACAUGGACACAUGGGGACACGGCCACACGGGGACGCCGUGGGGACGUGGCAGGGGACAGGGACAUGGCCAGACAGGGACACCGUGGGGGACACGGCCACAUGGGGACACGGCAGGGGACGGGACACGGCCGCGUGGGGACACCCCGGGGGACACGGCCACACGGGGACACCGUGGGGACACGGCAGGGGAUGGGGACAUGGCCAGACAGGGACACCGUGGGGGGACAUGGCCGCAUGGGGACGCCACAGGGACAUGGCAGGGGAUGGGGACACGGUCACACGAGGACACCGCAGGGCACGGGGACAUGGCCAGACAGGGAAACCGUGGGGGACAGGGCAGCGCGAGGACGUGGCUGGGGAGGGGGACAUGGCCAGACAGGGACACCAUGGGGGACACGGCCACACGGGGACGCCGUGUGGACACGGCAGGGGACAGGGACACGGCAAGACAGGGACACCGUGGGGACACGGUCAUAUGGGGACGCCGUGGGGACGCGGCAGGGGACAGGGACAUGGCCAGACAGGGACACCGUGGCAGACACGGCCACACGGGGACACUGUGGGGACGCCGCAGGGACGCCACG